UAGAUUAAAGUCCGUUGGUUGGGGCGGCUAGUUGUUAACUAGUUUUUUGUGGGUUCGAAGCCCACUAAUCUAG
RNAcentral lists this transfer RNA (73 nucleotides) under Lichanura trivirgata (rosy boa). Its description in RNAcentral is "tRNA-Asn". It matches the Rfam family "tRNA". Rfam says of the family: Transfer RNA (tRNA) molecules are approximately 80 nucleotides in length. Lineage: Eukaryota; Metazoa; Chordata; Lepidosauria; Squamata; Ungaliophiidae. The record is from RNAcentral.